AACAGACUCUGAACUGGCUCCCUAUGAAAUGAGUCAUAAAAACUACUGCACUCAUCGAGUUAGACAUGGCCUAGACAAAAGAAGAGUUAUGAAUACAAUAGAAAACAAUGGCCCUUGCCACAUCAGCAAUCUGCAGGAAUAUACUGUACCAUUGGGAAUUCUGGAUUUCACUGCCAGCACGAUGCUGAGAGGCUGACCAUCACACCCAGCUUCAUGUGGUGUGACUCUGACCUCUGGAGGGAAGACGAUCGAAGGACUCAUCAGGCUGUCGUGGAGGCACUAAUGUUACAGAACCAGCUCGCAGCAGAAGCUCUGGACACCAAACCUUGGGUGAAGUCCUUUAGCUGGCACUGUCCCUCACUGGUGCUGAGAAUUAACUACUGUUUAUAAAGCUCUGAGUGGAGAGGGGAUGGAGUUCGUGCCUCGUCCCUCCUGA
RNAcentral lists this long non-coding RNA (436 nucleotides) under Mus musculus (house mouse). RNAcentral's name for it is "predicted gene 11832 (Gm11832)". The record is from RNAcentral. Lineage: Eukaryota; Metazoa; Chordata; Mammalia; Rodentia; Muridae.